GGCUGCAAGAAACUGCCAGCAACAAAAACGCAGCUCAGACGAGGAUUAGGUUAAAAAGCGUGAUUCCUGCCUCAGUGAAGGUGAAGAUCGGGGUGCUGAGGUGACACACAAGCUAACAAGCUUACGGCAAACGACGGCCCAGAAGCUGAGUGAUGCAACGGUGGAGACAUUUCGGAACCACGCCGCCCUUUAGGCCUCGUCGCCUCGGCUCAAAGAAGACGCGGAGGUGGCGGUGGGUGUGUUUACACAAGCGGCUUUGCUUUGCGUUUAUGGAUACAUAAACAUUCAUGAGCCAGUGCUCAGCCUCCCAGAAGAAUGCUGGCAGAAUAAAGGCCAGGCCCGACUGGUGCUGCCCACAGCCGACUGCACAAGGCUCUCCUGUUGUAAGGCUUGGCCUGACCUACAGCUGGUUGCUUGACAUUAACACAUAAUAAAAAUUAUUAAUAUUAAAUAUGA
Betta splendens (Siamese fighting fish) is the source of this 456-nucleotide long non-coding RNA. RefSeq lists it as uncharacterized. The record is from RefSeq and is a predicted model, not a curated record. The transcript is spliced from 3 exons. NCBI's taxonomy places the organism in Eukaryota, Metazoa, Chordata, Actinopteri, Anabantiformes, Osphronemidae.